Molecule: long non-coding RNA, 1642 nt
Filed under: Jatropha curcas
Lineage: Eukaryota; Viridiplantae; Streptophyta; Magnoliopsida; Malpighiales; Euphorbiaceae
Description: long non-coding RNA (JCUR_LNC002497)
Source: RNAcentral
GCAUACACAGUUUGGUAGAAGGACAAGUUUCAGGUUCAGGCUCAUUUAAGAAGUAAAGUUGCAGAAUUUUCUGUUUCCUCCAGUAAACUUUGCUAUUUGUGCUGCAUAGAACCUAAGUUAAGACUCGAAUAACUUAUUCAUUUUGUAAACUGAAGCUGAGACACCACCUGAACUACUCUGAGUUUUGUAUAUAUGUGGACAGACACUGAGUUAGGAGACAGUUUUGUAAAGGACAGGUUUGUACAAUGAGUAACUCGCAGGUUUAUUUGCUGUUGCAUUUUAUUUAAAAUUUGGAUGAAGAUAUUGACGCUUCCAUUAAUUAUAUAUUAUAUAUAACCUAAUGAUAUUUUAACGCCCUGGUCCCUUCUCUCCAACUCCAUUUUUCGGUUUUUCCUCAGGACCAUCUUCUUUUGCUUUAAAAAGUUAGGAAAGCUGACUUCACUCCUCUUCUCCCCACAUUCACCACCUACUUUUCUUGGCAAUGAAAUGAAAUAUUUGCAGUUUCUGAGUAAAAACUUUUUGGAACAAAAUAUUUUGAACUUGGUUUAUUGAUCUCUUUCCAGUCCUCAAAGAGAAUAGAGGGUUUGUGUCCUUUGCCUUAUCCCUUGCUUUAGUUCAUAGCUUGCUGACUUCUAUGAUACCACUGCUGCUGCUUGUUUGCUAGUGUGGUUGUCUCCCUAUGGUCACUGUACCCAUUUUUGGAGUCCAUAAUAGUGCAUUCUUGAUAGUUGAAUUUUUCUCACUAGUGCUUAAUCAGGCAUGCCAUGGUGUCCCUAAAGGCAUUCUUUUGCAUCAAGUGUGCUUCAAUUUGAUACACAGCCCUGAGAGCUAGCUCACAUCAUAUUGAUCAGUUAUGGCCUAUUUCGUUCCUUUCUUGGUUUUUAUUUAGGAUACUUGCCAGUGUCAUUGCUGUUGAUUUGUGCACAAACUUUCAGGUCCAAAGCAAACACUCGAUGUCUUUCAUAUUCAAAGAGUCUUUAGUCUUAAUGUAACAACGAUAUUCUAAUAGCUCCUUUAUGUUGAUAAUACAUGCACUUGAAACUUUUCUUUGUAGGAAUUUGCUCCAGGAACAGUGGAAGGAUGUGUUUACAAGGGUCAUCCAAGUCAGCAGUUGCUGCAAGCGAAGAUUUAAUUUCAGUUCAGUUUUACAAGGACUCUGCCAAUGAAAGUGAAGGACCUGGCUCUGGCUCUGGUUCUCCAAAGUGCGUAUUCCUGAUAUCGCUUGUUGCAUUACUUUUUAUUGCAUAGGUGAAUGCUACUGUGGUAGACCAAUUUUUUCGGGCUUCUGAUUAUAAGAUUGCUCUCUCAUUCAUUUUUUAAUCCAAUGUUUUAUGCAUACACAGUUUGGUAGAAGGACAAGUUUCAGGUUCAGGCUCAUUUAAGAAGUAAAGUUGCAGAAUUUUCUGUUUCCUCCAGUAAACUUUGCUAUUUGUGCUGCAUAGAACCUAAGUUAAGACUCGAAUAACUUAUUCAUUUUGUAAACUGAAGCUGAGACACCACCUGAACUACUCUGAGUUUUGUAUAUAUGUGGACAGACACUGAGUUAGGAGACAGUUUUGUAAAGGACAGGUUUGUACAAUGAGUAACUCGCAGGUUUAUUUGCUGUUGCAUUUUAUUUAAAAUUUGGAUGAAGAUAUUGACG